This 434-nucleotide long non-coding RNA is filed under the name Hordeum vulgare. RNAcentral's name for it is "long non-coding RNA (HVUL_LNC013398)". Lineage: Eukaryota; Viridiplantae; Streptophyta; Magnoliopsida; Poales; Poaceae. The record is from RNAcentral.
UCCUUGAUGCUGUUGUUGUCGCGGUGUAAUAAGAAGAUUUAUGGGCCUCCCCUGAGCUUAUGAAUUCAGCUGUUUGGUUCUAGCAUGUUUGUAGGAUUGUUGUAAUGGGGGAGGCCGUAUGAUUGCUGCGGUAGUGCAUGAUUAACUGGCCGCCUAGUGUAAUCUGAUGACCAUUAUGCAGUGCCUCUCAUGGCUACUAUGUAUUUAUGUUCUUCAUUUUCGCCGUGCACUAGUUUUUUGUUGUUCUAUGGCAGCGUUGUGCUGUGAUUACUGCAUAUUAGGUUGCAAGGUUCUCCCAAUGCUUUCAAGCAAGGCUUGUUGUAAUUAAGCCUUGGAAGCAAAAUGUGGAAACUACAGAUAAACUGACUGUAAUAUUGGACUGACGUAGGUUCUUGCUUCAUAUUGGUGUGGUAAUAAGAUAGUGUGGAUACAAG